ACUGCGAAUGGCUCAUUAAAUCAGUUAUCGUUUAUUUGAUAGUACCUUACUACUUGGAUAACCGUGGUAAUUCUAGAGCUAAUACAUGCUUAAAACCCCGACUCACGAAGGGGUGUAUUUAUUAGAUUAAAAACCAAUGCCCUUCGGGGCUCUUUGGUGAUUCAUAAUAACUUUUCGAAUCGCAUGGCCUUGCGCCGGCGAUGGUUCAUUCAAAUUUCUGCCCUAUCAACUUUCGAUGGCAGGGUCUUGGCCUGCCAUGGUGACAACGGGUAACGGAGGGUUAGGGCUCGACCCCGGAGAAGGAGCCUGAGAAACGGCUACUACAUCCAAGGAAGGCAGCAGGCGCGCAAAUUACCCAAUCCCGACUCGGGGAGGUAGUGACAAUAAAUACUGAUACAGGGCUCUUUUGGGUCUUGUAAUUGGAAUGAGUACAAUUUAAAUCCCUUAACGAGGAACAAUUGGAGGGCAAGUCUGGUGCGC
RNAcentral lists this ribosomal RNA (480 nucleotides) under sordariomycete sp. LC-C2/2. RNAcentral's name for it is "SSU rRNA". It matches the Rfam family "Eukaryotic small subunit ribosomal RNA", at positions 86 to 571 of the family's 1831-position model. The record is from RNAcentral. Lineage: Eukaryota; Fungi; Ascomycota; Sordariomycetes.